Molecule: unclassified non-coding RNA, 253 nt
Filed under: uncultured Tepidisphaerales bacterium
Lineage: Bacteria; Pseudomonadati; Planctomycetota; Phycisphaerae; Tepidisphaerales
Description: contains 16S-23S intergenic spacer region
Rfam family: Bacterial small subunit ribosomal RNA
Source: RNAcentral
UACAGAGGCCUCGAGCGUUAGGCGGAAUCACUGGGCUUAAAGCGUGUGUAGGCGGACGGCUAAGUACCCUGUGAAAUCCCACGGCUCAACCGUGGAACCGCUUGGUAUACUGGUUGUCUUGAGCCACUUAGGGGUUACCGGAACAAAUGGUGGAGCGGUGAAAUGCGUAGAUAUCAUUUGGAACGCCAAUGGUGAAAACAGGUAACUGGGAGUGUGCUGACGCUGAGACACGAAAGCUAGGGGAGCAAACGGG